RNAcentral lists this ribosomal RNA (468 nucleotides) under uncultured bacterium. RNAcentral's name for it is "partial 16S ribosomal RNA". It matches the Rfam family "Bacterial small subunit ribosomal RNA", at positions 28 to 507 of the family's 1533-position model. The record is from RNAcentral.
GACGAACGCUGGCGGCGUGCUUAACACAUGCAAGUCGAACGGAAAGGCCCUGCUUUUGUUGGGUGCUCGUGUGGCGAACGGGUGAGUAACACGUGAGUAACCUGCCCUUGACUUUGGGAUAACUUCAGGAAACUGGGGCUAAUACCGGAUAGGAGCUCCUGCUGCAUGGUGGGGGUUGGAAAGUUUCGGCGGUUGGGGAUGGACUCGCGGCUUAUCAGCUUGUUGGUGGGGUAGUGGCUUACCAAGGCUUUGACGGGUAGCCGGCCUGAGAGGGUGACCGGCCACAUUGGGACUGAGAUACGGCCCAGACUCCUACGGGAGGCAGCAGUGGGGAAUAUUGCACAAUGGGCGGAAGCCUGAUGCGGCAACGCCGCGUGCGGGAUGACGGCCUUCGGGUUGUAAACCGAUUUCGCCGGUGACGAAGCGUGAGUGACGGUAAUGGGUAAAGAAGCACCGGCUAACUACGUG